RNAcentral lists this ribosomal RNA (460 nucleotides) under uncultured bacterium. RNAcentral describes it as "partial 16S ribosomal RNA". It matches the Rfam family "Bacterial small subunit ribosomal RNA", at positions 338 to 795 of the family's 1533-position model. The record is from RNAcentral.
CCUACGGGAGGCAGCAGUGAGGAAUAUUGGUCAAUGGACGAGAGUCUGAACCAGCCAAGUAGCGUGAAGGAUGACUGCCCUAUGGGUUGUAAACUUCUUUUAUAAAGGAAUAAAACGAGGCACGUGUGCCUUUUUGCAUGUACUUUAUGAAUAAGGAUCGGCUAACUCCGUGCCAGCAGCCGCGGUAAUACGGAGGAUCCGAGCGUUAUCCGGAUUUAUUUGGUUUAAAGGGAGCGUAGAUGGGUUGUUAAGUCAGUUGUGAAAGUUUGCGGCUCAACCGUAAAAUUGCAAUUGAUACUGGCAGUCUUGAGUACAGUUGAGGUAAGCGGAAUUCGUGGUGUAGCGGUGAAAUGCUUAGAUAUCACGAAGAACCCCGAUUGCGAAGGCAGCUUACUAAACUGUGACUGACAUUGAUGCUCGAAAGUGUGGGUAUCAAACAGGAUUAGAUACCCUUGUAGUC